GAUGAAGAACGUAGCGAAAUGCGAUAAGUAAUGUGAAUUGCAGAAUUCAGUGAAUCAUCGAAUCUUUGAACGCACCUUGCGCCCUUUGGCUAUUCCGAAGGGCAUGCCUGUUUGAGUAUCAUGAACACCUCGACUCUCAUGGUCUGCCAUGAUGAGCUUGGACUUUGGGGGUCUUGCCGGCCUAGCGUCGGCUCCUCUCAAAUGGAUCAGCUCGCCAGUGUUUGGUGGCAUCACAGGUGUGAUAACUAUCUACGCUUGUGGUUUUCUACCAUGUAACCUUCAGCGAUGGAGGUUCGCUGGGGCUCACAGACGUCUCUCCUUGGAGGACAGCUCUUUGAACGUUUGAUCUCAAAUCAGGUAGGACUACCCGCUGAACUUAAGCAUAUCAAUAAGCGGAGGA
This 400-nucleotide unclassified non-coding RNA is filed under the name soil metagenome. Its description in RNAcentral is "partial contains 5.8S ribosomal RNA, internal transcribed spacer 2, and large subunit ribosomal RNA". The stretch from base 1 to 121 matches the Rfam family "5.8S ribosomal RNA", at positions 35 to 154 of the family's 154-position model. The record is from RNAcentral.